RNAcentral lists this ribosomal RNA (466 nucleotides) under uncultured bacterium. Its description in RNAcentral is "bacterial SSU rRNA". It matches the Rfam family "Bacterial small subunit ribosomal RNA", at positions 328 to 792 of the family's 1533-position model. The record is from RNAcentral.
AACCCAGACUCCUACGGGAGGCAGCAGUGAGGAAUAUUGGUCAAUGGCCGCAGGGCUGAACCAGCCAAGUCGCGUGAGGGAUGACGGUCCUAUGGAUUGUAAACCUCUUUUGUCAGGGAACAAAGGCGGGGACGUGUCCCCGGAUGAGUGUACCUGAAGAAAAAGCAUCGGCUAACUCCGUGCCAGCAGCCGCGGUAAUACGGAGGAUGCGAGCGUUAUCCGGAUUUAUUGGGUUUAAAGGGUGCGCAGGCGGAGGUGCAAGUCAGCGGUCAAAUUGCGGGGCUCAACCCCGUACUGCCGUUGAAACUGCAUCCCUUGAGUGCGCGAGAAGUAUGCGGAAUGCGUGGUGUAGCGGUGAAAUGCAUAGAUAUCACGCAGAACUCCGAUUGCGAAGGCAGCAUACCGGCGCGCAACUGACGCUCAUGCACGAAAGCGUGGGUAUCGAACAGGAUUAGAUACCCUAGUA